UGUCGGUCUCACAGAUUCUGGUGCCGAGGAUCUCGUCUCCGCUCUCAGUACAAACCCAUCACUUACGGAUCUGAACCUGGGAUCAAACUCUCUGACAGACCGAUCUGUCCCCGGUCUCCGCCGCCUCAUACAGACCCUCCCGAGUCUGAAGCGGAUCUGGCUGUGGGGGAAUCGGUUCAGUGGGACCGGGGAGAAGGAACUGAGAUCUCUACAGGGAGUCAGACCCGGACUGAGAGUGGAGACCAGGUGAACAUCUGAAUGUGGGGAAUCGGUUCAGUGGGACCGGGGAGAAGGAACUGAGAUCUCUACAGGAACCCAGACCCGGACUGAGAGUGGAUCUGUGAACAUCUGAAUGUGGGGAAUCGGUUCAGUGAGACCGGGAUGAAGGAACUGAGAUCUCUACAGGAACCCAGACCCGGACUGAGAGUGGAUCUGUGAACAUCUGAAUGUGUGAAUCGGUUCAGUGAGACCGGGAUGAAGGAACUGAGAUCUCUACAGGAACCCAGACCCGGACUGAUGGUGGAUCUGUGAACAUCUGAAUGUGGGGGAAUCGGUUCAGUGAGACCGGGAUGAAGGAACUGAGAUCUCUACAGGAACCCAGACCCGGACUGAUGGUGGAUCUGUGAACAUCUGAAUGUGGGGAAUCGGUUCAGUGAGACCGGGAUGGAACUGAGAUCUCUACAGGAACCCAGACCCGGACUGAUGGUGGAUCUGUGAACAUCUGAAUGUGGUGAAUCGGUUCAGUGAGACCGGGAUGAAGGAACUGAGAUCUCUACAGGAACCCAGACCCGGACUGAUGGUGGAUCUGUGAACAUCUGAAUGUGGGGAAUCGGUUCAGUGAGACCGGAUGAAGGAACUGAGAUCUCUACAGGAACCCGGACCCGGACUGAUGGUGGAUCUGUGAACAUCUGAAUGUGGUGAAUCGGUUCAGUGAGACCGGGAUGAAGGAACUGAGAUCUCUACAGGAACCCAGACCCGGACUGAGAGUGGAUCUGUGAACAUCUGAAUGUGGUGAAUCGGUUCAGUGAGACCGGGAGGAAGGAACUGAGAUCUCUACAGGAACCCAGACCCGGACUGAUGGUGGAUCUGUGAACAUCUGAAUGUGGGGAAUCGGUUCAGUGAGACCGGGAUGAAGGAACUGAGAUCUCUACAGGAACCCAGACCCGGACUGAGAGUGGAUCUGUGAACAUCUGAAUGUGGUGAAUCGGUUCAGUGAGACCGGGAUGAAGGAACUGAGAUCUCUACAGGAACCCAGACCCGGACUGAUGGUGGAUCUGUGAACAUCUGAAUGUGGUGAAUCGGUUCAGUGAGACCGGGAUGAAGGAACUGAGAUCUCUACAGGAACCCAGACCCGGACUGAGAGU
Hypanus sabinus (Atlantic stingray) is the source of this 1364-nucleotide long non-coding RNA. RefSeq lists it as uncharacterized. The record is from RefSeq and is a predicted model, not a curated record. The transcript is spliced from 2 exons. NCBI's taxonomy places the organism in Eukaryota, Metazoa, Chordata, Chondrichthyes, Myliobatiformes, Dasyatidae.